Ipomoea triloba (trilobed morning glory) is the source of this 139-nucleotide long non-coding RNA. RefSeq lists it as uncharacterized. The record is from RefSeq and is a predicted model, not a curated record. Lineage: Eukaryota; Viridiplantae; Streptophyta; Magnoliopsida; Solanales; Convolvulaceae. The transcript is spliced from 3 exons.
UGGAUGCAGGGUUGCUGAUCAAAUUCUCAAGCUUGUUCCAAAUGUUGAGAAUUUCAGGACAACUCUACGAUGUGUGAAGUUUUGGGCUAAAAAACGUGGCAUUUAUUCAAAUGUUUGAUAGGGAAGACCAGUGUGAAAA